This is a non-coding RNA of Populus trichocarpa (black cottonwood), 156 nucleotides long. Lineage: Eukaryota; Viridiplantae; Streptophyta; Magnoliopsida; Malpighiales; Salicaceae. The record is from Rfam.
UCUCGAACUCGAGAUAUGGGUUGAACACUGAACAAUGUCUGGGCUGCAUGACAGAUUCUGACUUCUCUUUUGUUGCUAUAGUUUGAACUUGAAAACGACCAUUUUGAAUCUUGGACUCUUCAUGAAAGUUUUAGGCUUAUGUCUUAGCUUUCCAAC